UACGUAGGGUGCGAGCGUUGUCCGGAAUUAUUGGGCGUAAAGAGCUCGUAGGCGGUUUGUCGCGUCGACUGUGAAAACCUGGGGCUUAACUCUGGGCCUGCAGUCGAUACGGGCAGACUUGAGUUCGGUAGGGGAGACUGGAAUUCCUGGUGUAGCGGUGAAAUGCGUAGAUAUCGGGAGGAACACCUGAGGCGAAGGCGGGCUACUGGGCCGAUACUGACGCUGAUGCGCGAAAGCCAGGGGAGCGAACGGG
This 253-nucleotide ribosomal RNA is filed under the name uncultured bacterium. Its description in RNAcentral is "partial 16S ribosomal RNA". It matches the Rfam family "Bacterial small subunit ribosomal RNA", at positions 524 to 776 of the family's 1533-position model. The record is from RNAcentral.